RNAcentral lists this ribosomal RNA (245 nucleotides) under uncultured Verrucomicrobiota bacterium. Its description in RNAcentral is "uncultured Verrucomicrobia bacterium partial 16S ribosomal RNA". It matches the Rfam family "Bacterial small subunit ribosomal RNA", at positions 524 to 768 of the family's 1533-position model. The record is from RNAcentral. Lineage: Bacteria; Pseudomonadati; Verrucomicrobiota.
UACAGAGGUCCCAAGCGUUGUUCGGAUUCACUGGGCGUAAAGGGUGCGUAGGCGGUUUGACAAGUCUGAUGUGAAAUCCCGCAGCUUAACUGCGGAACUGCAUUGGAAACUGUCUGACUAGAGGAAUGGAGGGGAGACUGGAAUGCUUGGUGUAGCAGUGAAAUGCGUAGAUAUCAAGCGGAACACCAGUGGCGAAGGCGAGUCUCUGGACAUUUCCUGACGCUGAGGCACGAAAGCCAGGGGAG